RNAcentral lists this ribosomal RNA (492 nucleotides) under uncultured bacterium. RNAcentral's name for it is "partial 16S ribosomal RNA". It matches the Rfam family "Bacterial small subunit ribosomal RNA", at positions 29 to 507 of the family's 1533-position model. The record is from RNAcentral.
AGUGAACGCUGGCGGUAGGCCUAACACAUGCAAGUCGAACGGCAGCACAGUAAGAGCUUGCUCUUACGGUUGGCGAGUGGCGGACGGGUGAGGAAUACAUCGGAAUCUACUUUUUCGUGGGGGAUUACGUAGGGAAACUUACGCUACUACCGCAUACUACCUACGGGUUAAAGCAGGGGAUCUUCGGACCUUGCGCGUUUGUAUGAGCCGAUGUCGGAUUAGCUAGUUGGCGGGGUAAAGGCCCACCAAGGCGACGAUCCGUAGCUGGUCUGAGAGGAUGAUCAGCCACACUGGGACUGAGACACGGUCCAGACUCCUACGGGAGGCAGCAGUGGGGAAUAUUGGACAAUGGGCGCAAGCCUGAUCCAGCCAUACCGCGUGGGUGAAGAAGGCCUUCGGGUUGUAAAGCCCUUUUGUUGGGAAAGAAAAGCAGCAGGUUAAUACCCCGCUGUUCUGACGGUACCCAAAGAAUAAGCACCGGCUAACUUCGUG